Molecule: long non-coding RNA, 674 nt
Organism: Passer domesticus (house sparrow)
Lineage: Eukaryota; Metazoa; Chordata; Aves; Passeriformes; Passeridae
Exons: 3
Source: RefSeq, a predicted model, not a curated record
GUCUGAAAUUCUCAGCAGCCAGGGCUCAAACAGCUCAGCACCCUGAGCAUUCUCAUGCACAGACAAAUCCUGCUGAUGGCUAAUUGUCCCUGCUAUAAGUAGGGAAAAACCAUGGAUAUCUGCAGUAUUUCUCAUUUAAGCUGCUCCAGGCCCUGAAACCCUCCUCCUUAGCACUCCUGAUUUAAACCCAGUUAUUUAAUUAAAGCCUGUUUAGAUAUUGGUUUUAAAUCAUAUAAAAUGCCAGACUUUGGCACAGCCAGGUUAUGUCCCAACUGAGGCCAUCCUGAUCUCUUUUCCUGGGUUUCCAGCCCCUGUUUGCUCAGCAUGAGGCAAUGCCAGGGUAUUUAAUUCUCUGAUAAAAAGCCUGCCACAGGGAGGCCCUUGCAGCUGCCACCACCACCAGCAUCCCUUGCCAGGUGAUUUGAGGAGGACUGGAGAUGUGCUUCAUCAUGACCAUGAUGGUCAAAGGAGAUGUAUUUCAAAAUUACUUUCCAGCUUCUACAGAGCGUCGUGCACUGGAUGAACACCACAAAUGAUGCAGGACAGGGCUGCAGGAUGCUCAGGAAACCAGAAGAAUUGAACAGACUUCAGAUUUCUCCCAAAGCAGGAUUCUAAGAUGGGAAAAACAGCAAUAAUGUACAUUUCUAAUGAAAUAAAGACACAUGAGAUACAAA